This 88-nucleotide ribosomal RNA is filed under the name Apophysomyces variabilis. RNAcentral's name for it is "partial 28S ribosomal RNA". The record is from RNAcentral. Lineage: Eukaryota; Fungi; Mucoromycota; Mucoromycetes; Mucorales; Mucoraceae.
AAAAAAUCUCGAUCUUGGCUAGGUGUUUAUAGCCGAAAAUUUUUUUUGGCUAUAACCGAAACCAAUAUAAUCACAUUUAGUUAUCGAU